RNAcentral lists this ribosomal RNA (497 nucleotides) under uncultured bacterium. Its description in RNAcentral is "partial 16S ribosomal RNA". It matches the Rfam family "Bacterial small subunit ribosomal RNA", at positions 28 to 507 of the family's 1533-position model. The record is from RNAcentral.
GAUGAACGCUGGCGGCGUGCCUAAUACAUGCAAGUCGAGCGAACAGACGAGGAGCUUGCUCCUCUGACGUUAGCGGCGGACGGGUGAGUAACACGUGGAUAACCUACCUAUAAGAUUGGGAUAACUGCGGGAAACCGGAGCUAAUACCGGAUAAUAUAUUGAACCGCAUGGUUCAAUAGUGAAAGACGGUUUUGCUGUCACUUAUAGAUGGAUCCGCGCCGCAUUAGCUAGUUGGUAAGGUAACGGCUUACCAAGGCAACGAUGCGUAGCCGACCUGAGAGGGUGAUCGGCCACACUGGAACUGAGACACGGUCCAGACUCCUACGGGAGGCAGCAGUAGGGAAUCUUCCGCAAUGGGCGAAAGCCUGACGGAGCAACGCCGCGUGAGUGAUGAAGGUCUUCGGAUCGUAAAACUCUGUUAUUAGGGAAGAACAAAUGUGUAAGUAACCAUGCACGUCUUGACGGUACCUAAUCAGAAAGCCACGGCUAACUACGUG